AGCGGAUGACGGGAGCUUGCUCCUUGAUUCAGCGGCGGACGGGUGAGUAAUGCCUAGGAAUCUGCCUGGUAGUGGGGGACAACGUUUCGAAAGGAACGCUAAUACCGCAUCGUCCUACGGGAGAAAGCAGGGGACCUUCGGGCCUUGCGCUAUCAGAUGACCCCACGUCGGAUUAGCUUGUUGGUGAGGUAAUGGCUCACCAAGGCGACGAUCCGUAACUGGUCUGAGAGGAUGAUCAGUCACACUGGAACUGAGACACGGUCCACACUCCUACGGGAGGCAGCAGUGGGGAAUAUUGGACAAUGGGCGAAACCCUGAUCCACCCAUGCCGCGUGUGUGAAGAACGUCUUCGGAUUGGAAAGGACUUUAAGUUGGGAGGAAGGGCAGUAAGUUAAUACCUUGCUGUUUUGACGUUACCGACAGAAUAAUCACCGGCUAACUCUGUGCCAGCACCCGCGGUAAUACAGAGGGUGCAAUCGUUAAUCGGAAUUACUGGGCGUAAAGCGCGCGUAGGUGGUUUGUUAAGUUGGAUGUGAAAGCCCCGGGCUCAACCUGG
This 556-nucleotide ribosomal RNA is filed under the name Pseudomonas sp. EGY-WCH1. RNAcentral's name for it is "bacterial SSU rRNA". It matches the Rfam family "Bacterial small subunit ribosomal RNA", at positions 65 to 617 of the family's 1533-position model. The record is from RNAcentral. Lineage: Bacteria; Pseudomonadati; Pseudomonadota; Gammaproteobacteria; Pseudomonadales; Pseudomonadaceae.